AUUAAAAUUAAAAAAAAAACUGUGGGUCCCCCGCGGCUGCCGGAGUUCUUCCGCCGAGAAUGCGCCGUCGUCAGUCCCGGAUCCUGCUCCAGGUGGAGGCGGAACUUGGCGAAGGCGAUGGUUUGGUUCAUUGAACUGGGGAUGCAAACCUGACAACAUGAGCACGUCGUUGACGAUGGAUCUGAAAAUUCUUCAACCGCUCCCUAGUUGAGCUCGCCCACUUUCGUCUUCAGUGAGAAGGGGCCGGCGUCGGGGGCUGGAUUCAGCAUCUGGCGGAGGCGGAGCGUGCAGAACUCGACGUUGAUGAUGGAUUUGGAGAUCGAGAUCGUUUGACGACUCUGGAGGAUAAAAAGUUCCAAUAACGCGCUCUGAUCCUAUGGGAGAAAGGAGGGAUAAAAUUGGGGGCUUAUGUUAAACCUCCAGAGCAGUGAGGAGGACAGGGAUGACAGCGGUGUUGACCCCUCCGUUGCUUGAUCCAUUAGACAGCCAUGAUCUCAUGCUCACCUCCACCCAGGUGAAUCGGAAGAUAUGCUAUUGAUGCCAUCUAAUUAUGCUCUAGAUAGGUGACUUUGAGAUGCAUGUGUCAAUGGGACAUGUCUACUCCAAAUGCUUUGGUUCCUACUAUGUAUCCAAAUGUCCUACUGACUCAAACACCACCAAUUCCAAGCAAACCAGUGUCUGAAUUAGGUCCUUUACCUCCAGCUGCACCACAGAAAGCAUAUCAGAUACCUCUAAGUCCAUUUGUCCAUGGAUAAAUGUCCCAUCUACAAAAGAUGCAAAGUCAGCUGCGAUGGGGACUUCAGGAGUGGCUUCUAGGUUGAAUAUUGGAAGGGAAAAGCAACCUUCUAGAAGAAAAGUGGUAACUAACAAGCAGUUUGUCAAAUGUUUUGUCAAGUUGUCCUGCAUUCUUGUGGUGAUAUUCCUUGCCAAAACAAUAACAAGAUCUCCUCACUAUUUAGCAGUUCACUAACAACAAAGAGCUAUGAUCAAAGACGGGCUUCUCGUGCCACUGGAGAAGCUCUUAAGAUCCUCUACCAAGAUAGAGAAGCAGUGGGGCAUGGAGAUCCUCUUAUUGCUGUAUGGCCGCUUUUUUUGGUAUCAACUAAGCUGUUGUGCAAUUGCAUGGUCCUUUAUGUUAAAUAUUGGCUUGAUAACCUUGGGAUGAAGCCAAAUCUUGAUCUCUUUUAAUCCAACGGUCUAGAUUGCUCUAUUGUUUAUAUAGGGUUAUAUUUGUUGGGUGUUGUGUCAUGAGAGAAAAGAGAGAGAGAUAGAAAGGGAGAGUUCUUUUGUAUUUGGAGAGUGGAAAGAGUGGUGCCUCUUGUUCUUACUUGAUCUCAUUAAAGCAAGGUAAGACUUUUGUUUUUUGAGGUAAAGCUAGUUUUUAGAACUUAGUAAUCCUCUUGUGGUUUUAUGCCUAUUCCUUGUACUCUUGUACUCUUGUACUCUUGUUAUUUCCCCAUGAUAUAGUGAAGCAUUGUUCUCCCGUGGAUGCAGGCUUGUUCUU
Long non-coding RNA from Dioscorea cayenensis subsp. rotundata (Guinea yam), 1504 nucleotides. RefSeq lists it as uncharacterized. Lineage: Eukaryota; Viridiplantae; Streptophyta; Magnoliopsida; Dioscoreales; Dioscoreaceae. The record is from RefSeq and is a predicted model, not a curated record. The transcript has 5 exons.